GAUUAAGCCAUGCAUGUCUAAGUAUAAACGAUUUAAUCGUGAAACCGCGAAUGGCUCAUUAUAACAGCUAUAAUUUACUUGAUCUUGACACAAUCCUACUUGGAUAACUGUGGUAAUUCUAGAGCUAAUACAUGCAUUAAAGCUCUGACCUCACGGGAAGAGUGCAUUUAUUAGAACAAAACCAAGCGGCUUCGGCUGUUUCUGGUUGACUCAUAGUAACUGAGCUGAUCGCAUGGUCUUGCACCGGCGACGUGUCUUUCAAGUAUCUGCCGUAUCAACUUUCGAUGGUAGUGUAUCUGACUACCAUGGUGAUCACGCGUAACGGAGAAUAAGGGUUCGGCUCCGGAGAGUUCGCCUGAGAAAUCGCGAACACAUCUAAGGAAGGCAGCAGGCGCGAAAAUUACCCACUCUCAGCACGAGGAGGUAGUGACGAAAAAUAACGAGACCGUUCUCUUAUGAGGCCGGUCAUCGGAAUGGGUAC
Molecule: ribosomal RNA, 481 nt
Filed under: Acrobeloides sp. Sourhope farm
Lineage: Eukaryota; Metazoa; Nematoda; Chromadorea; Rhabditida; Cephalobidae
Description: SSU rRNA
Rfam family: Eukaryotic small subunit ribosomal RNA
Source: RNAcentral